This 1322-nucleotide long non-coding RNA is filed under the name Serinus canaria (Common canary). RNAcentral's name for it is "lncRNA (ENSSCAG00000011075.1)". Lineage: Eukaryota; Metazoa; Chordata; Aves; Passeriformes; Fringillidae. The record is from RNAcentral.
CCCAUUUGGGCUGGGAUUGCCCCCAAUAAAUGAUCCUUUUACUGGGCCAGGAGUGGGGAAAGGGAAAGGCCUGGAGGAGGAGUUGUGGGAUGGGAUAUGGGAAAGGGAAUGAGGGAUCUGGAUCAUCCUGGAGGUCCCUUCCAUCCCAAACCAUCCCGGGAUUCCGUGGAGAUCGGAGCAGGAGGAACAGCCGAGCUCCCCGUGCAAGGCCGUAAAAAAUAUGGGAGCCCUGGGAGAGAAACAGGUGGGAUGGGUUGGUGGGAGGUGGGAAAAGGGGGGAAAAGCAGGGAAAAAAGGAAAACUGGCAGGAAAAAAAUCCAGGGUUUCCUGACGAACCCUUGGUUUUCUGGGCUGCAAAUCAAAAUAAUAAUAAUAAUAAUAAUAAUAAUAAUAAUAAUAAUAAUAAUAAUAAUAAUAAUAAUAAUAAUAAUAAUGGUGGUAGUAGUAGCAGGCAGAUGAGUGGAGAAUGCUGAGGGUUGUUUGAAAAAAUACUGAUGGGGGAAAAAAAAAACAUGGAAAGGACCCAAGAUCUGUGGGGGAAAAAAUUUGGAUCAACUGGAUCUAAAAGGGAUCAGCUUGAUCCAAAAGGGAUCAGCUUGAUCCAAAAGGGAUCCAGCUCUGAGUUCUUGCUGGAAAAGCUGGUGAGUUUUUCCCCAAAAAGCCUCAGUGAGGAGACUCCACGGGGGAAUUCCAGGCUCUUCCUGGGGGGAUUUGGGAUCUGAUCCCUGGGAAUGGGAACAGGACAAGAGGGAAUGGCCUUGAGCGGUGCCCAGGGGAGGCUCAGGGUGGGAAAUCUGGGAAAAUCCCUCCUGGAAAAGAGGAAAGGGCUUGGAAAGGGCUGCCCAGGGAGGUUUGGAGUGGAGGUGUCCAAGGAAUUCCUGGACAUUGGUCUGGGAUCGAGCACAGCUUGGACUCAACCUUGGAGAUCUUUUCCAACCUCAACGACUCUGGGAUGUUCCUUUAAGGAAAGAAAAACCCCCAAAUCUAUAAAAGGAAUAAUUCCCAUUCCUUCUCUUCCUGAGCCCGGCGUGGAACUGGAGAUUGUCCAAGCCCUGGAGCUGCACGGGGUGGAGCCGCCGGGGCCGAUGAGUCAACCCCGAGGUCUCGGGGUCCGCCCCGCCCGUGACCUCAUUGCCGGAGCUUUCCCAACCUUUUCCCCAAGAGCCAAACAAGAAAUGUGGGAUCCCUGAGCUGCCCACGGCUCGGGGGGCUGAUCCUCCAAGGUUUUGGGAUGGUGACGCCACCACUGGGAUUGUUAAAUCCCCGUUGGGAUCGGGAACGGGAGCGGGACGGGGAAAAUGGGGCGCACAAAAAUGGGGGGA